This 468-nucleotide ribosomal RNA is filed under the name uncultured bacterium. RNAcentral describes it as "partial 16S ribosomal RNA". It matches the Rfam family "Bacterial small subunit ribosomal RNA", at positions 28 to 507 of the family's 1533-position model. The record is from RNAcentral.
GACGAACGCUGGCGGCGUGCUUAACACAUGCAAGUCGAACGGAAAGGCCCUGCUUUUGUGGGGUGCUCGAGUGGCGAACGGGUGAGUAACACGUGAGUAACCUGCCCUUGACUUUGGGAUAACUUCAGGAAACUGGGGCUAAUACCGGAUAGGAGCUCCUGCUGCAUGGUGGGGGUUGGAAAGUUUCGGCGGUUGGGGAUGGACUCGCGGCUUAUCAGCUUGUUGGUGGGGUAGUGGCUUACCACGGCGUUGACGGGUAGCCGGCCCGGGAGGGUGGACGGGCCCCAUGGGACUGCGGUACGGACCAGGACGCAAACGGGCGCAAGAGGUGGGAACAUUUGCAAAAUGGGCGGAGGCUUAAGACAGAAACGCCGCGUGGGGAAGAACGCCCUUCGGGUUGUAAACGGCUUCCGCUGAUACCGAUACUGAAUUAAGUUAAUGGGUAAAGAAGCACCGGCUAACUACGUG